CUAUUCUAUUUUCCUCCGGGGGCGGCAGUGUGGAAUAUUGGACAAUGGGCGCAGGCCUGAUCCAGCCAUGCGGCAUGAGUGCUUAAGGCCUUAGGGUUGUAAAGCUCUUUUGUCCGGGACGAUAAGGCCGGUCCCCGGAAGAAAGAGCCCCGGCAAACUUCGUGCCAGCAGCCGGGGUAAUCCGAAGGGGGCAAGCUUUUCUCGGAAUCCCUGGGCGUAAAGGGCGCGUAGGCGGCCUUUUAAGUCGGGGGGGAAACCCCGGGGCUCAACCCCAGAAUUGCCUUUAAUACUGGUAGGCUUGAGACCAGAAGAGGACGGCGGAACUCCGGGUGUAGGGGUAAAAUUCGUAAAUAUUCGCAAGAACCCCGGUGGCGAAGGCGCCUUUCUGGCCCAUUUCUGCCGCUGAGGGGCAAAAGCGGGGGGGGCAAACAGGAUUAAACCCCCUGGUUGCCCCCGCCGAAACCGAUGAAUGCCAGCGUUGGUCUGCUGCAGGUCAGUGGCGCAGCUAACGCAUAAGCAUGCGCCUGGAGACUGCUGU
Molecule: ribosomal RNA, 538 nt
Filed under: uncultured Methylobacterium sp.
Lineage: Bacteria; Pseudomonadati; Pseudomonadota; Alphaproteobacteria; Hyphomicrobiales; Methylobacteriaceae
Description: partial 16S ribosomal RNA
Rfam family: Bacterial small subunit ribosomal RNA
Source: RNAcentral